RNAcentral lists this ribosomal RNA (457 nucleotides) under uncultured bacterium. RNAcentral's name for it is "bacterial SSU rRNA". It matches the Rfam family "Bacterial small subunit ribosomal RNA", at positions 340 to 786 of the family's 1533-position model. The record is from RNAcentral.
UACGGAAGGCAGCAGUGGGGAAUAUUGGACAAUGGGCGCAAGCCUGAUCCAGCCAUGCCGCGUGUGUGAAGAAGGCCUUCGGGUUGUAAAGCACUUUUGUCCGGAAAGAAAAGCUUAGGGUUAAUAACCUUGAGUCAUGACGGUACCGGAAGAAUAAGCACCGGCUAACUUCGUGCCAGCAGCCGCGGUAAUACGAAGGGUGCAAGCAUUACUCGGAAUUACUGGGCGUAAAGCGUGCGUAGGUGGUUUUGUUAAAGUCUGAUGUGAAAGCCCUGGGCUCAACCUGGGAAUGGCAUUGGAAACUGGCUUACUAGAGUGCGGUAGAGGGGUGUGGAAUUCCCGGUGUAGCAGUGAAAUGCGUAGAUAUCGGGAGGAACAUCUGUGGCGAAGGCGACACCCUGGACCAGCACUGACACUGAGGCACGAAAGCGUGGGGAGCAAACGAGGAUUAGAUACC